RNAcentral lists this ribosomal RNA (500 nucleotides) under uncultured bacterium. Its description in RNAcentral is "partial 16S ribosomal RNA". It matches the Rfam family "Bacterial small subunit ribosomal RNA", at positions 28 to 507 of the family's 1533-position model. The record is from RNAcentral.
GACGAACGCUGGCGGCGUGCUUAACACAUGCAAGUCGAACGGGUCUGCCCUGUUUUUUGCGGGGUGGGUCAGUGGCGAACGGGUGAGUAACACGUGAGUAACCUGCCCCUCACUUCUGGAUAACCGCUUGAAAGGGUGGCUAAUACGGGGUGUUCUGGCUGUGCCGCAUGGUGUGGCUGGGAAAGAUUCACUUUUGUGGUGUUUUGGUGGGGGAUGGGCUCGCGGCCUAUCAGCUUGUUGGUGGGGUGAUGGCCUGCCAAGGCUUUGACGGGUAGCCGGCCUGGGGGGGUGGGCGGUCACACUGGGGCUGAGAUACGGCCCAGACUCCUGCGGGAGGCAGCAGUGGGGGGUAUUGCACGAUGGGCGGAAGCCUGAUGCAGCGACGUCGCGUGAGGGAUGGAGGCCUUCGGGUUGUGAACCUCUUUCGCCGGUGAAGAAGGUCCUGCUCUUUGUGGUGGGGUUGACGGUAGCCGGGUUAUGAAGCGCCGGCUAACUACGUG